RNAcentral lists this long non-coding RNA (237 nucleotides) under Vigna radiata. Its description in RNAcentral is "long non-coding RNA (VRAD_LNC000933)". Lineage: Eukaryota; Viridiplantae; Streptophyta; Magnoliopsida; Fabales; Fabaceae. The record is from RNAcentral.
CUGGAUGCAUUUGGUGGACAACGUGAUGCUUCUACGUGUGUAGCUGGAUGGAGCUGCUGAACCGAGCCUCUCAAGGCUGAAUGUGUCAAGAUGCUUCAAAGCUACUGGACUGAGUUCACAUGAACGUGGCAGCAGACUGGUGAGCAGGCCGUGGGUUUGUGUGCUGUAACGUGUGAAGACCAGCCCAAACCGUGACCACACUUCUGCUUCUAGAUGUCACCCCCUUUUUCAAUGUUU